CUUUCCCAAAUGAAAAACAAAAAACGAAGUCUCUUUGAAACAAAAAACCCUAGAGCGAAAUCGCUCUAAAACUCUGAAACAAAAAAAAACCCUAGUGCGAUGAAGACUCAACCGGUGAUUUCAGCCCUGGCCUGUUGGACCUGCAUUCAUUUGAUACUGAGCUUCUUACCAAGGAGGAUUGAUCACAGUAUACUUUGCAAGAUGAAUUUUGAAUCUAAGUUGUGGUAGAUCGCAACACCCUUUAUCAUGAUAGAAGCUUUGAAUAAGAAGGAAUUAGAAAAGAAUGAGAAAGGCAUUAUAGAAACGCAUUCCAACUAAAGGUGAGUGUGACUUAUUUAUAUUUUUAUGCUAGAAAUGAAGUAAGCCUUGGUCAUCUGGAUUGACUGCACGCAAGAGUCAUAGUACAAGCACUAGCACUGGGCGCGAAUGGGCUACUUCAACUGUCAUAGAUGACUUUAUCUUUGUAUGCAUCAUGCCUUUACUUUGUUUUUAUAUGCAUCACACUCACUUAACUAGCGUUAUCUUUAAGACUUGAACAAAAUCUAGGAGAUCCACUACUUUAAAUACUUCAUUCCCAUACAUAUGUCUUUGAAGAAAUUAGCCUAUAAUAGAAAUGAAAAGUAUUUGAUUGUU
Molecule: long non-coding RNA, 633 nt
Organism: Lathyrus oleraceus (garden pea)
Lineage: Eukaryota; Viridiplantae; Streptophyta; Magnoliopsida; Fabales; Fabaceae
Exons: 2
Source: RefSeq, a predicted model, not a curated record